CCCUAAUUCCCAAAUUGAAUCAGAAACCCUAAUUCCCAAAUUAAUUGAGAAACCCUAACCCUGCCACCCUCACCACAGCCGCACCCCACCCCCUUUCACCCCUUCAGUGGAACAAUUUCAGAAACGAGAAAUUAGAGAGAGAGAGAUGCAUGAAGAAGAGAAGCCCGCCAGUUGCCACCGCGUCGCCAUUACUGAGCUACAGCGCCGCCGUCCAGCCUCAUCCCGCCGUGUUACCAUGGUCACCGUUGCUGUUGCAAGGAAAGGGGAGAGGGCCGAAGCUGCACGUCCGAGGGAGAAGGGUGGAUGCUGUUCGCCGUGCCGCCUCCCUGGAGCUCGCCGUCGAGCUGCUUCGCAGCGCCGUCCCGUCCAUAGAGCCAGAGCCCGCGUCGCCGUCGUUCAUUCGCGUUCUGCCGCCGCCGCUUCAAGGGUCUGUCGUCGCUGCUGACGUCGCCGAAAGGAGGAGAGCGACCACCACGAGGAGCUGUGUUCCACGCCACUGUCGCCAUCGAUCCACGGCCACCACCGCGAGGGUUCCGCCGCCGUCGUUCCAAUGCUGCCGUUCAUGCCCUCUGUUCCCUUCAUCGUUCUGUCCAGCAUCACCAGCACUGAAGUCAGCUUCUACCACCGUCAAGCUUUGUUGGAGCUGGUGCUGUUUUUGGAUGUUUGGAGUGGAGGCUUGCCCAGUUCUGUCUCUGCUCAUGGUUCUCGCAGCUGCCGGAGCCUCCGCCGCCAUCAAAGCUGCGUGGAUUCGUAAUAUUGGGUUUACCGCAUUUAAAUUCUUCAAUUACGGCUAAUUGAGGUGCUGGAAACUGCUAAUGGAGCAGCUGCGUUUAGUGAAUUUUCGACGGUUUCGGCUAGUCGAGUGAUACAGGUUCGAAGAUUCCAUUUGAAGCUGCGGGUGAUUAUAGAACUUAUUUACGAGUUAAGUUUAUGACUUGAGUUUCUUUCAUAGAAUUCCCUCACCUUUGUAGCUUUAGUUUUUAUUUUAUGCAGAGGGAUAGGAGUCAUACCUGAAUUU
This is a non-coding RNA of Arachis ipaensis, 1018 nucleotides long. Lineage: Eukaryota; Viridiplantae; Streptophyta; Magnoliopsida; Fabales; Fabaceae. The record is from RefSeq and is a predicted model, not a curated record.